CUGACCUUAGCUCAGUUGGUAGAGUGGUGGACUGUAGUUGGACUAAAUCUAAAUUGGAAAUCCUUAAGUCGCUGGUUUGAUUCCGGCAGGUUGGA
This 95-nucleotide transfer RNA is filed under the name Ipomoea nil (Japanese morning glory). It matches the Rfam family "tRNA". Rfam says of the family: Transfer RNA (tRNA) molecules are approximately 80 nucleotides in length. Their secondary structure includes four short double-helical elements and three loops (D, anti-codon, and T loops). Further hydrogen bonds mediate the characteristic L-shaped molecular structure. tRNAs have two regions of fundamental functional importance: the anti-codon, which is responsible for specific mRNA codon recognition, and the 3' end, to which the tRNAs corresponding amino acid is attached (by aminoacyl-tRNA synthetases). tRNAs cope with the degeneracy of the genetic code in two manners: having more than one tRNA (with a specific anti-codon) for a particular amino acid; and 'wobble' base-pairing, i.e. permitting non-standard base-pairing at the 3rd anti-codon position. Lineage: Eukaryota; Viridiplantae; Streptophyta; Magnoliopsida; Solanales; Convolvulaceae. The record is from Rfam by way of RNAcentral.